GUGGGACAGCCGAUGUAUAUUU
This 22-nucleotide unclassified non-coding RNA is filed under the name Mus musculus (house mouse). RNAcentral's name for it is "oocyte_clustered_small_RNA5387". Lineage: Eukaryota; Metazoa; Chordata; Mammalia; Rodentia; Muridae. The record is from RNAcentral.